RNAcentral lists this ribosomal RNA (492 nucleotides) under uncultured bacterium. Its description in RNAcentral is "partial 16S ribosomal RNA". It matches the Rfam family "Bacterial small subunit ribosomal RNA", at positions 30 to 507 of the family's 1533-position model. The record is from RNAcentral.
AGUGAACGCUGGCGGUAGGCCUAACACAUGCAAGUCGAACGGCAGCACAGUAAGAGCUUGCUCUUACGGGUGGCGAGUGGCGGACGGGUGAGGAAUACAUCGGAAUCUACUUUUUCGUGGGGGAUAACGUAGGGAAACUUACGCUAAUACCGCAUACGACCUACGGGUGAAAGCAGGGGAUCUUCGGACCUUGCGCGAUUGAAUGAGCCGAUGUCGGAUUAGCUAGUUGGCGGGGUAAAGGCCCACCAAGGCGACGAUCCGUAGCUGGUCUGAGAGGAUGAGGAGCGACACGUGGAGAUAGAGGGGCAACAGACUGAGGCGGGAGGACGCAAGGGGGCGUGGUGGACGAUGGUCGGAGGGUUGAUACAGCAGUACGGAGGGGGUGAAGAAGGCCUUCGGGUUUUAAAGCGGUUUUGUCGGGAAAGAAAAACAGCGGGCUGACACCCCGCUGUUAGGACGGUACGCAAAGAGAAAGCAACGGAUAACUUCGUG